Molecule: transfer RNA, 74 nt
Filed under: Salmonella enterica subsp. enterica serovar Enteritidis str. SA20100239
Lineage: Bacteria; Pseudomonadati; Pseudomonadota; Gammaproteobacteria; Enterobacterales; Enterobacteriaceae
Description: tRNA-Val (GAC) (tRNA-Val-GAC-1-1)
Rfam family: tRNA
About the family: Transfer RNA (tRNA) molecules are approximately 80 nucleotides in length. Their secondary structure includes four short double-helical elements and three loops (D, anti-codon, and T loops).
Source: RNAcentral
GCGUUCAUAGCUCAGUUGGUUAGAGCACCACCUUGACAUGGUGGGGGUCGUUGGUUCGAGUCCAAUUGAACNNN